RNAcentral lists this ribosomal RNA (454 nucleotides) under uncultured bacterium. RNAcentral's name for it is "bacterial SSU rRNA". It matches the Rfam family "Bacterial small subunit ribosomal RNA", at positions 349 to 793 of the family's 1533-position model. The record is from RNAcentral.
CAGCAGUGGGGAAUAUUGCACAAUGGGGGAAACCCUGAUGCAGCCAUGCCGCGUGUGUGAAGAAGGCCUUCGGGUUGUAAAGCACUUUCAGUAGGGAGGAAGGUAGUGUAGUUAACACCUGCACUAUUUGACGUUACCUACAGAAGAAGCACCGGCUAACUCCGUGCCAGCAGCCGCGGUAAUACGGAGGGUGCGAGCGUUAAUCGGAAUUACUGGGCGUAAAGCGCAUGCAGGCGGCCUGUUAAGUCAGAUGUGAAAGACCCGGGGCUUAACCUCGGAAUUGCAUUUGAAACUGGCAGGCUAGAGUCUUGUAGAGGGGGGUAGGAAUUUCAGGUGUAGCGGUGAAAUGCGUAGAGAUCUGAAGGAAUACCAGUGGCGAAGGCGGCCCCCUGGACAAAGACUGACGCUCAGAUGCGAAAGCGUGGGGAGCAAACAGGAUUAGAUACCCUGGUAG